UUAGAGUUUGAUCCUGGCUCAGGAUGAACGCUAGCGGCAGGCCUAACACAUGCAAGUCGAGGGGUAACGAUGGCUUCGGCCAGGCGACGACCGGCGCACGGGUGAGUAUCGCGUUUGUAACCUACCUCUGACUGGAGGAUAGCCCGAAGAAAUUCGGAUUAAUACUCCAUAAUACUAUGGACAGGCAUCUGUUCAUGGUUAAAGCCCCGGCGGUCAGAGAUGGGCAUGCGUGACAUUAGCUUGUUGGUGAGGUAACAGCUCACCAAGGCUACGAUGUCUAGGGGGUCUGAGAGGAUGGUCCCCCACACUGGUACUGAGACACGGACCAGACUCCUACGGGAGGCAGCAGUGAGGAAUAUUGGUCAAUGGGCGAAAGCCUGAACCAGCCAUGCCGCGUGAAGGAUGACAGCCCUAUGGGUUGUAAACUUCUUUUGUACGGGAAGAAACGCCUCUACGUGUAGAGGUUUGACGGUACCGUACGAAUAAGCAUCGGCUAACUCCGUGCCAGCAGCCGCGGUAAUACGGAGGAUGCAAGCGUUAUCCGGAUUUAUUGGGUUUAAAGGGUACGUAGGCGGGAGCUUAAGUCAGUGGUGAAAUCCUGCAGCUUAACUGUAGAACUGUCAUUGAUACUGGGCUUCUUGAAUGUAGUUGAGGUAGGCGGAAUGUGUAAUGUAGCGGUGAAAUGCUUAGAUAUUACACAGAACACCGAUUGCGAAGGCAGCUUACUAAACUACGAUUGACGCUGAGGUACGAAAGCGUGGGGAGCGAACAGGAUUAGAUACCCUGGUAGUCCACGCUGUAAACGAUGAUCACU
RNAcentral lists this ribosomal RNA (814 nucleotides) under uncultured organism. RNAcentral describes it as "bacterial SSU rRNA". It matches the Rfam family "Bacterial small subunit ribosomal RNA", at positions 1 to 817 of the family's 1533-position model. The record is from RNAcentral.